UACGGAGGGUGCGAGCGUUGUCCGGAAUCACUGGGCGUAAAGGGCGCGUAGGCGGCCUGAUAAGUAGGGGGUGAAAUCCUGCGGCUUAACCGCAGGGCUGCCUUCUAAACUGUCAGGCUAGAGCACAGUAGAGGCAGGUGGAAUUCCCGGUGUAGCGGUGGAAUGCGUAGAGAUCGGGAAGAACACCCGUGGCGAAGGCGGCUCUCUGGUACGUGACUGACGCUGAGACGCGAAAGCGUGGGGAGCGAACAGG
RNAcentral lists this ribosomal RNA (253 nucleotides) under uncultured bacterium. RNAcentral's name for it is "partial 16S ribosomal RNA". It matches the Rfam family "Bacterial small subunit ribosomal RNA", at positions 524 to 776 of the family's 1533-position model. The record is from RNAcentral.